Long non-coding RNA from Pezoporus occidentalis (night parrot), 2427 nucleotides. RefSeq lists it as uncharacterized. The record is from RefSeq and is a predicted model, not a curated record. Lineage: Eukaryota; Metazoa; Chordata; Aves; Psittaciformes; Psittacidae. The transcript is spliced from 2 exons.
CACAAGCCUGAUAAAAGAGAAAGGGACAGGUUGCUUGCAUAACCUCAGUGCAUUACUUUUUUGACAGUGGACAGGUCACGCUUUUAGGAUGGAUUUAAACAGCUGCCUUGGACUGAAUCAAUAUGAAACUUAUUUGCCCAACUAGCUUGCAUAGCACAUGUAAAUGAUGAUUUCUUGCUUGCCUUGCCCUUUAAUAGCAGAAUAAGCUGCUCUGAUUUGGUAUUUCUUUCUAAUUGCUAUCUAUCUUCUUCACUUGCAGCCUCUCAUUUGUAUAGCCUUUCUAGGGCUAGCACAGCUGUGUUGAGCAAUUAGAUGUGGUCCUGUAGAAGUAUAUUUGGGAUGGAUGUUACUGCAGAGUGCUGAUGUAGCUCAUGCUAGCUUGAAUCUGUGCAGCAGGAUGUGCUGAGCGGUCUAGAUUUGGCACUGAAGGAUGUUAACUGGAACAAGAGUCACUUGCCAGGAUAACCAUUGAAUGUAGGGCUCUGAAAUCAAUAUUUUCUGUGAGAUGAUAGUAACCACAUUUCUUCCAGUGGCUUAUCACUGGAGAUAUGGCAAAUUGUCUUGGAUAGUCCCCGAGCUGGUAAACUCUUUAAUACUGUCAGCUUUGUGUUUUGUCUCAUGUUAUGUUAAUUGCUCAGUGCACUAUAGAAAUAAGAAAGAUUGAAUAUUCCAGAAUCCACUUUAACCUGUUUUGGGACAGUCCCAGUUGUUUCAGCACAGAAAAACUAGGCUUUAUUAAUUUAUUUGUGUCUAAUCCCUUCAACUACAAAGUUGGCAGCACACACAGAGAACAUGUGCCAACAUCAGCACUUCCUUUUAAAUAAACAGCAAACUUAGAUAACAUUUACAUGUUACAAAGAAGUGGUUCAUUUGAUAUUUUCUUUCCCUAUUACAGUUGAGCUAUUGGACUGAAUUCCUUCUUGCUUUAGACCACAUAAGAGAAAUACAUAUAACAUCAUUUAAAAGCAAAAAAUCCUUAAAAAGUGAAAUUAGGAAAUGUUUUUUCUUUCUCAGAUAGCAUUUUGUCUCUGGGAAAAUACAUUUUGAGACAUGAGCUCACCCAAUAACUGUGGUAGAAAAAAAGUGCCCAAAUUUUAAAUACCCUGUCAGAAUUUCUGUUUGUAAUUGCAGCUAUGAUGAAUAUAAUAUCCACUGAUUUGGAUCAGCUAAAGCAUCUAGCAUAACCUGCUCUGGAUCAGGGAGCUGGGUAGAGCAAAAUUCAUUUGCAUUGGAGAAAGGAGAAUAGGUUAUCCUAAUUUUCUGUCACUAUACCUGCAUCUAGCCAACAGUGUAUUUGUAUAAAUAUUUUGGUUAAACUAUCAGAAGUCAUAUUAGAUUGACAGAACACUUGUGCAUAUGUUAAGCCUAAAAUACUCCCGAGUAGCUGUACAACAGCUUGUGAAGCUCUUAUUCCUACUAGCUUUUAGGUUAUGUUAGAUUGAUUCUGAACCCCUAUAUACUACUUGGUUUUAAGUAUGUCAUGUUAAUAUCCUCUCACUCUAAAGAAAAUAUUCAAAGAUGUUCCAGUGAUUUGAAAUAGAGCUUCCAGACUUUUCUAGACAGGACCCUUUGGAGCAUCAACAGCAUCCCUCGCAAUUGUGGGAUGAAGAAGGGACAAUGUGCAUUUUGUGCACUGCAUUUUUGAUCCUAAAUCAAACAAGUUUUAUAUCUUGGAUACAUGUGAUCCUGCUGACCAGACCGGUAUCAAUCAUAAAGCUACAGGCAUUUCUCUGGAAGAGAUUUUCAGGGAGGAAGGAGAGAACAAGCCUCAGAGUGAGUAUAAAGCUGGAGUUAUGUAUUAGUAUUUAAGGCCAUCUUGGGGUUUGUGUGGGGUUGUUUUUUUAAUAAAAUGCUGAUAGUAGUUUAUUUGCUUACUUAAUUGAUGGUGUGACGGUGACUGAAGUGGGAAAUGAUCUGCUCCUGUAGUAAAUGUAACUGCUAAGUGAAUGCUACUGUGUAAUCACUGGUUUUUACGGUUUAUAACAGCUGAACUCCUGCAUCUAGAACAGACAUGAUUUAUGUGUAAUGAAAAGCCACAUGAAUAAAACUCCCCAAAUGGAUAUAAAAAAUUCAGAUCCAAAAUUAUAUUUUUUGACAGAAUGGAUGUGGAGAGCAGAGCAUGAAGUUGAAGAAAUCUAAUAUAUGGAUAUGCCAAAGGAAAGGUUGGGAUCCAAUUAAAGAAGAUCAGGGAAGACAGAACUGGACAAGACCUCAUAGAAUGCUGGGCUGUUCCUUUUGCUCCCAGAAGGAUGAACAGAACAUUGACCAUCCCCAGUAGGUACAGUUUUACCUAGUUUCUUCGUCUUCCCCCUCCCCAGUCUUCCAAAUGAAUGAAAGGAAGAAAUUAUCACAAUACUUUUACCCUGAUAAAUAUUUGGUUGGAUUUUAGUUACUUCCACAGUUGGAAAAAUAAAUUAGUAAGUCUGA